CUCAAACUAUGAGUUAUGUAAUAUUUUGAUUUUCAAACUUAAGUUAUUAUAAUUUUUGUCUCGAACUUUCAGAAUUAUGCAAUUAAGUCACACAAUUAGGAUGUUACAUCACUUUUACAUUAAAGAUACAUCAAUAUGUUUAAUCAAUUAAAUUGUGUUAUGAUCACUACGGUGUAUAGCGACACUUCUAAAUGUUGGUACAGGUCAAAAAAAGUGCUGCUGGCUAAAUUACCGACACUUUAAAAAAAUGUUGCUAUAUGUGGAAUCGCUAGGUAUAUAGUGACAGUUUAAGAGUGUCGGUAUAACCUAAAAAGAAUGCUGCUAAUUUACCAAUACUUAUUUAAGCAUUUAGCAACUGCCAGAACUCUACCUUGUUGGCUGCGGUGGCAGAGGAGAAGGAGAAUGAAGGGCUCUUCAUCUAGAGUUUCAGUGGAUUGAAUGAGGGGAGAAGGGGAGAUAGUGAUCGAUUUUUCUUUUUUUUUUCUUUUCUGUUUGUAAUCAGGCUGAAUGGGCCGGAUGCGGUGGGUUGAGUAGAAUAACAUUAUAUUUUUUAUUAGAUUGGGUUUUAUAUUUAAACUUUAGUAGAUUUUUUU
This 593-nucleotide long non-coding RNA is filed under the name Ananas comosus (pineapple). Its description in RNAcentral is "long non-coding RNA (ACOM_LNC028966)". Lineage: Eukaryota; Viridiplantae; Streptophyta; Magnoliopsida; Poales; Bromeliaceae. The record is from RNAcentral.